CGUCCCACUGAAAUUAAAAGAGAGAAUCAAAAGUUUAAUUAAUAUCAUUAAAAAAAUAAGCACAUAUAUAAGCAAAUGUCUGGAAAUAACUCACAUUACGAUCCGGACACUUGUAGAAUAUACGACCCUUGUUUACUCCCUCUUUCGACACUUUGUACUCCAUCACAAUCUUCUGCCCACACUUGCUACAAGUAAUGAGAGGAAGUUUCGGCC
Molecule: long non-coding RNA, 213 nt
Filed under: Sorghum bicolor (sorghum)
Lineage: Eukaryota; Viridiplantae; Streptophyta; Magnoliopsida; Poales; Poaceae
Description: long non-coding RNA (SBIC_LNC015611)
Source: RNAcentral